UAGGGAAUCUUCGGCAAUGGGGGGAACCCUGACCGAGCAACGCCGCGUGAGUGAAGAAGGUUUUCGGAUCGUAAAGCUCUGUUGUUAAGGAAGAACGAGUGUGAGAAUGGAAAGUUCAUACUGUGACGGUACUUAACCAGAAAGGGACGGCUAACUACGUGCCAGCAGCCGCGGUAAUACGUAGGUCCCGAGCGUUGUCCGGAUUUAUUGGGCGUAAAGCGAGCGCAGGCGGUUAGAUAAGUCUGAAGUUAAAGGCAGUGGCUCAACCAUUGUAGGCUUUGGAAACUGUUUAACUUGAGUGCAGAAGGGGAGAGUGGAAUUCCAUGUGUAGCGGUGAAAUGCGUAGAUAUAUGGAGGAACACCAGUGGCGAAAGCGGCUCUCUGGUCUGUAACUGACGCUGAGGCUCGAAAGCGUGGGGAGCGAACAGG
RNAcentral lists this ribosomal RNA (429 nucleotides) under Bacteroidota bacterium. Its description in RNAcentral is "Bacteroidetes bacterium partial 16S ribosomal RNA". It matches the Rfam family "Bacterial small subunit ribosomal RNA", at positions 355 to 776 of the family's 1533-position model. The record is from RNAcentral. Lineage: Bacteria; Pseudomonadati; Bacteroidota.